AGAGUUUGAUCAUGGCUCAGAUUAAACGCUAGCGGCAUGCCUUACACAUGCAAGUCGAACGGCAGCGGGCUCUUCGGAGUGCCGGCGAGUGGCAAACGGGUGAGUAAUACAUCGGAACAUGCCCAGUAGUGGGGGAUAGCUCGGCGAAAGCCGAAUUAAUACCGCAUACGACUUUCGGGUGAAAGAGGGGGAUCGCAAGACCUCUCGCUAUUGGAGUGGCCGAUGGCUGAUUAGUUUGUUGGUGGGGUAAUGGCCUACCAAGACUACGAUCAGUAGCUGGUCUGAGAGGACGAUCAGCCACACUGGGACUGAGACACGGCCCAGACUCCUACGGGAGGCAGCAGUGGGGAAUCUUGCACAAUGGAGGAAACUCUGAUGCAGCGAUGCCGCGUGAGUGAAGAAGGCCCUUGGGUUGUAAAGCUCUUUCGUCGGGGAAGAAAAUGACUGUACCCGAAUAAGAAGGUCCGGCUAACUUCGUGCCAGCCGCCGCGGUAAUAC
Molecule: ribosomal RNA, 498 nt
Filed under: uncultured bacterium
Lineage: Bacteria
Description: bacterial SSU rRNA
Rfam family: Bacterial small subunit ribosomal RNA
Source: RNAcentral